GCUUAAUGACGUACUGGGAAACGUAGGUAGUUUCUUUCGGUACAUUUUGCAAGGUGCUGCAUGGUUGUCGUCAGCUCGUGCCGUGAGGUGUCGGGUUAAGUCCCAUAACGAGCGCAACCCCUAUUGUUAGUUGCCAUCAGGUCAUGCUGGGGACUCUAACAAAACUGCCCGCGUAAGCGUGGAGGAAGGUGGGGAUGACGUCAAAUCAGCACGGCCCUUACGUCCAGGGCUACACACGUGCUACAAUGGCCGGUACAGAGGGCAGCCACUUGGUGACAAGGAGCAAAUCUCAAAAGCCGGUCUCAGUUCGGAUCGGAGUCUGCAACUCGACUCCGUGAAGUUGGAUUCGCUAGUAAUCGUAGAUCAGCAAUGCUACGGUGAAUACGUUCCCGGGCCUU
This 398-nucleotide ribosomal RNA is filed under the name uncultured Bacteroidota bacterium. RNAcentral describes it as "bacterial SSU rRNA". It matches the Rfam family "Bacterial small subunit ribosomal RNA", at positions 987 to 1382 of the family's 1533-position model. Lineage: Bacteria; Pseudomonadati; Bacteroidota. The record is from RNAcentral.